AUGCUGACCAAAGCUUCUUGGACACCCUUGGUUUUGGUUACAUGCAAACACAACCAGAAAGUCCAAUUGGAGAGCAGGCAACUCCAUCAACUCAGCAUCAAGCAACACCAUCAACGCAGCAACAUUCUGCAAUAAUAGAGAAAGGAAAAUCCAACAAAGGAAAAAAUUGGUGUAGUGAUGAGGACAAGGUUCUCAUAGCAGCAUGGGCAAAUACAAGUUUGGAUAUUGUUGGGACUGAUCAAAACCGAGAUGCUUAUUGGGCUAGAAUUUCAGAGUACUACAACACACACAAGGAAUCGUCAUGGCCGGAGCGUAAUCCUAAUGCAAUCAAUUGCCGUUACACAUUGAUUAACAGAGAGACCUCCAAAUUUUGUGGUUGCCUUCAGCAGAUUUUAAAUAAGGAAGAAAGUGGAAGGACUAUAGCAGAAAAGACAAACGAUGCACACAUUCUGUUCAAGGAAAUGGAUGU
Molecule: long non-coding RNA, 469 nt
Organism: Triticum aestivum (bread wheat)
Lineage: Eukaryota; Viridiplantae; Streptophyta; Magnoliopsida; Poales; Poaceae
Exons: 2
Source: RefSeq, a predicted model, not a curated record